Long non-coding RNA from Pleuronectes platessa (European plaice), 1179 nucleotides. RefSeq lists it as uncharacterized. The transcript has 3 exons. The record is from RefSeq and is a predicted model, not a curated record. Lineage: Eukaryota; Metazoa; Chordata; Actinopteri; Pleuronectiformes; Pleuronectidae.
CGCGCGCUGUGUGCGCCGUACACACACAUGAAACAGUAACUUCGUCACUUUGUUGUGGACCAGCUGCCCCGUUUUGAAUCACGGACUGUCUGUAAAGGACAAGGAACUGCGGGAAGCAACAGGAACCUCGCUCCCCGUGACCGACAGAGCACACCACAAGCAGCAGUUUGAAAUGGCGGAGAGAGGAGGAGAGAAGAGGGGCUGCAGAGAGGCUGCAGACAAAACCCAGAGUGGAGCUGCAGAUCUGAGUGGAGGUGGACUGACUGGAGAUGUAUCACCAGAAGUGAAUGGCAGCUUCUUAUUGUCAAUCAGCUUCCACAGACCAUUAUUGCUGUCAUGUCUUUCAGAUGGCUGAAGUCUUCUCCAACAGAAUCAUUGAGACCACUCUUCUCUUGGGAAACUUCAAUGCAGCAGAAACCUUUUUUGCGGCCUUCCCCAGAUCUGUGCUUCGAUUCCGUCCUGUCUCUGAGCUCUGCAGGCAGCUCCUUCCACCUCAUGGCUUGCUGUUUGCUCAGAUGUACACUGUCAGCUGGGACAUCUAGGGGCCUGGCUUAGCUGUGGGUCUUUCCAAAUCAUGUCCAAUCAGUUGAUUUCAGCACACUCCAAUAAAAAAAGAAGUUCAAGUGUUAUAGCAAAGUGUCUGAAUGCAAUGUGAUAUUUCGCCAUUUGCUUUUAAGCCAUUUAAAAACAUUUCUGAAAUUAUGUUUUCCACUUCAUCAUGUAGUAUUAUAUAGAGACUGAAAACUUUCCGGUAACAAUGAACAUAACUAUUUGUGGCUUGCUCAGGGACACUGUCAGUUGGCUGUGUGUGUAAGAAUGAGGCGUCCCUGCUUCUCUUCAGCGUGUGUGGAAGCAGGGGUGGACUCAAAUGAUAACACAGGCUGUGACUCUGACUCCAUCCCAACCCCUCGCGUCACACACACCACCAGAAGACACAUUUCUUCGGCUAACCUUGGUUAAGCAGGUAUUUUUUACAUUUUUACACUCACCAGUGGUAAUAAAGUCACGACUGAUACUGAGACUGAACUAAUCAGGAAACGCGGGUGACUGUGUCAUUUUCCCCCAAAAUUCCAGCCACAACCCCAAAGUCAAACCCAAAAGUUUUUUUUCCAAGAAGUCCAGUUUUAGAGGCUCAGAAACUCCAGAGUUUGUGUGCGUGUUGAUGUAAACAUAGCAACA